GAUGAACGCUAGCGGCAGGCUUAAUACAUGCAAGUCGUGGGGCAGCAUGAGUAGCAAUACUUGAUGGCGACCGGCAAACGGGUGCGGAACACGUACACAACCUUCCUUCAAGCGGGGAAUAGCCCAGAGAAAUUUGGAUUAAUACCCCAUAAAAUAUGAAAAUGGCAUCACUUAUAUAUUAAAGCUUCGGCACUUGAUGAUGGGUGUGCGGCUGAUUAGAUAGUUGGCGAGGUAACGGCUCACCAAGUCUACGAUCAGUAGCUGAUGUGAGAGCAUGAUCAGCCACACGGGCACUGAGACACGGGCCCGACUCCUACGGGAGGCAGCAGUAAGGAAUAUUGGACAAUGGACGAAAGUCUGAUCCAGCCAUGCCGCGUGAAGGAUUAAGGUCCUCUGGAUUGUAAACUUCUUUAUAUGGGACGAAAAAAAGAGAAAUUCUUUCUCACUUGACGGUACCAUACGAAUCAGCACCGGCUAAC
This 479-nucleotide ribosomal RNA is filed under the name uncultured bacterium. RNAcentral describes it as "bacterial SSU rRNA". It matches the Rfam family "Bacterial small subunit ribosomal RNA", at positions 28 to 501 of the family's 1533-position model. The record is from RNAcentral.